RNAcentral lists this ribosomal RNA (957 nucleotides) under Staphylococcus sp. HKG 171. RNAcentral's name for it is "bacterial SSU rRNA". It matches the Rfam family "Bacterial small subunit ribosomal RNA", at positions 78 to 1021 of the family's 1533-position model. The record is from RNAcentral. Lineage: Bacteria; Bacillati; Bacillota; Bacilli; Caryophanales; Staphylococcaceae.
GCUUGCUCCUCUGCCGUCAGCGGCGGACGGGUGAGUAACAUCUGGAUAACCUACCUAUAAGACUGGGAUAACUUCGGGAAACCGGAGCUAAUACCGGAUAAUAUAUUGAACCGCAUGGUUCAAUAUUGAAAGACGGUUUUGCUGUCACUUAUACAUGGAUCCGCGCCGCAUUACCUAGUUGGUAAGGUAACGGCUUACCAAGGCAACGAUGCGUAGCCGACCUGAGAGGGUGAUCGGCCACACUGGAACUGAGACACGGUCCAGACUCCUACGGGAGGCAGCAGUAGGGAAUCUUCCGCAAUGGGCGAAAGCCUGACGGAGCAACGCCGCGUGAGUGAUGAAGGUCUUCGGAUCGUAAAACUCUGUUAUUAGGGAAGAACAAAUGUGUAAGUAACUAUGCACGUCUUGACGGUACCUAAUCAGAAAGCCACGGCUAACUACGUGCCAGCAGCCGCGGUAAUACGUAGGUGGCAAGCGUUAUCCGGAAUUAUUGGGCGUAAAGCGCGCGUAGGCGGUUUUUUAAGUCUGAUGUGAAAGCCCACGGCUCAACCGUGGAGGGUCAUUGGAAACUGGAAAACUUGAGUGCAGAAGAGGAAAGUGGAAUUCCAUGUGUAGCGGUGAAAUGCGCAGAGAUAUGGAGGAACACCAGUGGCGAAGGCGACUUUCUGGUCUGUAACUGACGCUGAUGUGCGAAAGCGUGGGGAUCAAACAGGAUUAGAUACCCUGGUAGUCCACGCCGUAAACGAUGAGUGCUAAGUGUUAGGGGGUUUCCGCCCCUUAGUGCUGCAGCUAACGCAUUAAGCACUCCGCCUGGGGAGUACGACCGCAAGGUUGAACUCAAAGGAAUUGACGGGGACCCGCACAGCGGUGGAGCAUGUGGUUUAAUUCGAAGCAACGCGAAGAACCUUACCAAAUCUUGACAUCCUCUGACCCCUCUAGAGAUAGAGUUUUCCCUUU